Pangasianodon hypophthalmus (striped catfish) is the source of this 1461-nucleotide long non-coding RNA. RefSeq lists it as uncharacterized. The transcript has 2 exons. The record is from RefSeq and is a predicted model, not a curated record. NCBI's taxonomy places the organism in Eukaryota, Metazoa, Chordata, Actinopteri, Siluriformes, Pangasiidae.
UGGUUUGCGUGGACCGAUAAUGAUGACAAAGCGGGUCAGCUGAUUGCUGUGUCACGGAGCUGGUUUUUCACGAGUGUGCCGAGACGCUGAGUUUUUUCCCCCUUCCUUCUCACAGACGCAGUGCGGCACAAGCAGACGACUGCAGACAGAGGAGGCAGAGGAGCGUACUGCUGCGACUCGCACACUUUUCUCCCAAAGUGCUCUGCUCCUCUCGAUUCUCCUUCGAAGCAGGCUAAUUUUCUCCUGGUGGAACGGCUGAGAACUGGGAUAGUGGAGCAAAACGACACUCGUAAACUCGGAAUUACGCUCCAUCUUGGAGGAGGAACAAAGAAUUUGGACUUUUUUUUGGGGACCUGUAAGGGAACGAAAGCUUCAUUCAGACAAAGAGAGGAUGCUGGAGCCGUAGAAGAACUUGUGCCGUCUCGCCCUUUUUUUGCGACUGGUCUAGCCGGGCCUGUGUGCAUGGGCCGGUCCUGCUUCUGGUUCUAGUUUGCUUCGUCUUCAUGUGGAGCUCAUCGAGAUGAACCCAAAAAGGCAGCCGAAUGAAGCUGCCACUGAGAGAGCGCAGAGCGCUCAGCCAGCCAGACAUGCUGACCUAAAUCAGUCUCCUUCAUGUCUUGGCUCGGCGACUGAGCGAGAACGGUGCAGCCAGAACGAGAACACGAGACAUAGUUAGAUUUACACACCAGACAUAAUAGCCUGCAAAGUGCCUAGGUAGAAAAUGCGCCCUCAGCUCUGAAGUUCUUCCCUGUAAUCCAGUCUCCUCCGUGUCCUCAUCUGCCCGUCUGUGGCUGCGCUGUUAUCCGUCUGCCGUAGGGAUCGGGAGAAGAGCGUGGGAGGGGAGGAGGAGGAGGAGGAGAUCACAAUGCGACGCCACUUUCUCUCCUGGUUUGCCGUCACUGCUUGGCUGCUCAUAGCUCCGGCAUUGCGUAGAAGUGAAUCUGCUCCUGUCCUCACAACAAAGGGCACAGAACGGCUCUGGUGAUGUAACGCAGGCACAUCAGGACAGCUACUCGGGGCAAAUAUACGGACUGAAAAUGUCAGCAUGUGAUGACUGUGAUCUUCAAGAAAUUUGGAUGAUGCAACAUCCUGUUGAGGAAAAUUCCAAAUAUUCCACAGGGGUGAAUGUGUUCAGGUAACAGUGUUGAGUGAAUAGUGUGAAGCUUUGUUUUUUUCCAUGAUGUGUAAUGGAAGGGUGUUUCAGGCAUGAGAUGUUAAAUUGAGUCACAUAUUAAAUGCACACUUUGUAAGAUUUUGAUUUAUUUUAAUGAUUACAUUAAAAUAUAGUGGAUAUUUAUAGUGAGUUGGUCAGUUGCUGUUUUAUGAAUGUUUUAAGUUAUUUAUUUAUUUAAAGGGCACUUUACCUGUGUUUAAAAUGUCUUUAACCUUUACUUUACAUAUUUGUAAAUGUAUUUUGUAACUGAUAACUGUAGUAAAAAUAAAUAUUUAGUUUUAUAUCAA